AUUCCAGCUCCAAUAGCGUAUAUUAAAGUUGUUGCGGUUAAAAAGCUCGUAGUUGGAUUUCUGUUGAGGACGGCCGGUCCGCACUAUGUGCGUGUAUCUGGUUCGGCCUUGGCAUCCUCUUGAGGAACGUAUCUGCGCUUGAUUGCGUGGAGCGGUAUUCAAGACUUUUACUUUGAGGAAAUUAGAGUGUUCACGGCAGGCAAGCGCCUUGAAUACGUUAGCAUGGAAUGAUAAUAUAGGAUCUUGGUUCUAUUUUGUUGGUUUCUAGAGCUAAGGUAAUGAUUAAUAGGGAUAAUUGGGGGCAUUUGUAUUAACGCGUCAGAGGUGGAAUUCUUGGAUUGCGUUACGACAAACUACUGCGAAAGCAUUUGCCAAGGAUGUUUUCAUCG
Molecule: ribosomal RNA, 389 nt
Filed under: Syndiniales sp.
Lineage: Eukaryota; Dinophyceae; Syndiniales
Description: partial small subunit ribosomal RNA
Rfam family: Eukaryotic small subunit ribosomal RNA
Source: RNAcentral